GAGUUUGAUCAUGGCUCAGAACGAACGCUGGCGGAAUGCUUUACACAUGCAAGUCGAGCGGCAGCGCGGGGCAACCUGGCGGCGAGCGGCGAACGGGUGAGUAAUGCAUCGGAACGUGUCCAUGUCGUGGGGGAUAGCCCGGCGAAAGCCGGAUUAAUACCGCAUACGCCCGAGAGGGGAAAGUGGGGGACCGCAAGGCCUCACGCGAUUGGGUCGGCCGAUGUCCGAUUAGCUAGUUGGCGGGGUAAAGGCCCACCAAGGCGAUGAUCGGUAGCUGGUCUGAGAGGAUGAUCAGCCACACUGGGACUGAGACACGGCCCAGACUCCUAC
RNAcentral lists this ribosomal RNA (330 nucleotides) under uncultured beta proteobacterium. RNAcentral's name for it is "bacterial SSU rRNA". It matches the Rfam family "Bacterial small subunit ribosomal RNA", at positions 9 to 342 of the family's 1533-position model. Lineage: Bacteria; Pseudomonadati; Pseudomonadota; Betaproteobacteria. The record is from RNAcentral.